UACCAGCUCUCCGAGUGGUAGGGACGAUUAUUGGGCUUAAAGCGUCCGUAGCUGGCUUAGCAAGUCUCCUGUUAAAUUCAGCGACCUAAUCGUUGAGCCGCGGGAGAUACUAUUAGGCUAGGAGGCGGGAGAGGUCGACGGUACUUUCGGGGUAGGGGUGAAAUCCUAUAAUCCCGGGAGGACCACCAGUGGCGAAGGCUGUCGACUAGAACGCGCUCGACGGUGAGGGACGAAAGCUGGGGGAGCGAACCGGAUUAGAUACCCGGGUAGUCCCAGCUGUAAACUAUGCGGGCUAGGUGUUGGGGUGGCUACGGGCCACUUCAGUGCCGCAGGCAAGCCAUUAAGCCCGCCGCCUGGGGAGUACGGCCGCAAGGCUGAAACUUAAAGGAAUUGGCGGGGGAGCACCACAAGGCGUGAAGCUUGCGGUUC
This 429-nucleotide ribosomal RNA is filed under the name uncultured archaeon. RNAcentral describes it as "bacterial SSU rRNA". It matches the Rfam family "Archaeal small subunit ribosomal RNA", at positions 474 to 903 of the family's 1478-position model. The record is from RNAcentral.